Molecule: non-coding RNA, 1149 nt
Organism: Nothobranchius furzeri (turquoise killifish)
Lineage: Eukaryota; Metazoa; Chordata; Actinopteri; Cyprinodontiformes; Nothobranchiidae
Source: RefSeq, a predicted model, not a curated record
UUUAUUCAUGUUGAGGGUCUGACCUCAUGAGGAAAUUACUAUGCAGUGAUUUUCUCCAAAAUGACUGUGCUUAAAUUGCUCUGAAAAGUAAAUAAUCACAUCAGCGCCAAGAAACUUCAUUUCCCAUGAUGCUUUGCACACGGAAGCAUUGGGUGAUGUUACCGCCUAGUACCAGAAACACGUUCUGCGCAUGUGCGGGAAGCCGUGGAGCUUUUCCCGCGAACUAAGACCAUAAAUCUUCAGCAGAGACAAAGAAACCUCGUUCUUUUGCCCAGGAUACCUGGCGGUAAGGACACGCUUGUCGAACGCUCCGACAACUUGAGCACGCGGAAGCUCUAAGUGCCAAGUUGAGCCCACGCAACCGCUGGAAACUACACUCAACUCCAUCGGGACCUGACUGGGAACGAGCGGAGCUCCAUUCAGCUCUCAGAGAUGCUCCGUGGAGAAGCACACGUGGAGCCAAACAACGGAGAAAGCAUCAAACCGACGGAUGACGCUGAAAACUGCGGAGAAAAACGGAGAACCGUCAAAUCAUAACAGCGGGGACGCCUUGCUGCUCAUCUGGUGAUCAGAAAACUCAUUUUUUUCUCUCCUUUUCUUCUCCCGUUUCCUCUAUAGUCCAGAAUAAGCAAUAAAACCGCGCUAUUGCUUAAAAAGUAGCUUCGUGUUUUCCUCUUUCGCUCCCAAUUCGUCCUUCGGGUCAUUUUGAAAGAAUAAACUGCUUAUUGAUCAUCGCUAAUAUCUUUAGUCGUCAGCUCUGGCCAGGCUGCCGACUCCUUUUAGAUUAAAUAAUUUACAAGUGACCUUUUGUUGUUUGUUAACUUUUGAAGUGUUUGAGUUAAGUUUUACUGUGAUUCUAAGCCACUAAGUGUUCGGGAAAGUAGAAAACUUUACACAUCCAGGUCUCCUGUUGAAUGCGAGGGGAGGGGAAGAGCCCCACACACACUCACAGCUCACUCCCCCCACCUACUCUGGGGAAACAAAGACCCAUUCAUCUCACACACACACACACACUCACUCACACACACCACACAAACACCUUGAACAUUAUUUUGAAUAUACAUCCUUUUAUUAUAUCACAUGGUUAUUAUUCAUUUAUGCCACUGUUUAUUCAUUUGACAAAUUGUUAAUUAAACGUUAUAAAAUUCA